CAUGGCAAGCACGUGGUUAGAUCAAGAUCUGUCAAACGUCGCCAACUGUGACGAUUUCUUCCCCUUUCAUUUCGUCAACAUUUAUGAUUUGUAAAUCUUGAUGGAUGGAUGACGCAUGAAGUUGGCUCAAGCGGGUGAAGAAUGAUUGUCAAGAGAAGAGGUUCAUUGUUCUCAAGUGAAGGCUUUCAAGUACUGGAACUAACUGAUUUGUUACAACCUGAAUGAACCAUCGAUUGAUGUGGAGACUACCAAAAUGAACACAUCCCCAUCCGAGAAAGAUUUGGUUAAGGAUGUGAAUGCUAAAAUCCUUUCCUCCCCGGAUGAGAACGACUCGGCCAAGCUUUACUGUUCGGAGUCUAUGGGGUCGUCGAAUGAGAGUCUUCAGUGUUCAGAGUCCAUGUUCAGCUCCGCCUCGGAUGACGACUUGGCACGUAUCACCCUGCUUCAUCAGGAAGCUUCAAAUAGAGGGUUUCCAUCCAGUGCCCCAGAUUCAACUGGCUACCGACAAAAACUUUCUAUGGAUGCUGGAGUCCAAGAGAGCAACGGAGAGGCGUUCUUCCAGUCGGCUCUUUGGGAACACCAGUAUUCGGAUCCAUCUAGCUUCAACAUGGCUGACAAGUUUGCCGAUUUUUCUGGACAGCAUUAUAAAGCAGGAAUUCAAGAUAUCUAUGAUCUUUCUGCAAUGAGUUCAAGGGGAGGCAUGGGCCGUGGGUCUAGCGACUAUGGACAUGUAACAGUCCAGCCCGUUAGCAGUGCAGGCCUGGUACCAUACUGGAACCGGGAAAGUAUGGUUCGGCACCAUCCAAUGUCUUUUGGGUCUCAUGGUAGUACCACUGAACUGUUUGCAAAUUCCUAUGGUAGCUAUGAAAAUAUAAACUUGAGGCAGAAGGGUACUUUUGGGUGCGAUCAGAAUUCCGAGUUCGGUGCUGUGUCCUAUGAUUCCAGAGAUGGAAAUAGAAAAGGUAACAGCUCGCAUGUUUACUGUGAAGAGAGCAGCAGGUUUGGGCAGUUUCAUUCCUCAUCCACUGUUAUUGAGUCCCAAAACCAAAUACCUGCAUUAUCCACCUGGUACUGUAAGCCCAUAGCUGCAUCACCUUCUGUAGAUAGACAAACUGAUUUGGA
Molecule: long non-coding RNA, 1122 nt
Organism: Lineus longissimus
Lineage: Eukaryota; Metazoa; Nemertea; Pilidiophora; Heteronemertea; Lineidae
Exons: 4
Source: RefSeq, a predicted model, not a curated record